This 230-nucleotide ribosomal RNA is filed under the name uncultured bacterium. RNAcentral's name for it is "partial 16S ribosomal RNA". It matches the Rfam family "Bacterial small subunit ribosomal RNA", at positions 104 to 334 of the family's 1533-position model. The record is from RNAcentral.
CGGGGUGGAGUAAUGUCUGGGAAACUGCCUGAUGGAGGGGGAUAACUGCUGGAAACGGUAGCUAAUACCGCAUAACGUCGCAAGACCAAAGAGGGGGACCUUCGGGCCUCUUGCCAUCGGAUGUGCCCAGAUGGGAUUAGCUAGUAGGUGGGGUAACGGCUCACCUAGGCGACGAUCCCUAGCUGGUCUGAGAGGAUGACCAGCCACACUGGAACUGAGACACGGUCCAG